GGGUCAGUAGGUUGGUCGUGCCACCGGUACGUACUGGUCUCACUGAUUCCUCCUUCCUGAAGAACCGUAAUGCCAUUAAUUUGGUGUUGCGGGGAAACAGGACUGUUACUUUGAAAAAAUUAGAGUGUUUAAAGCAAGCUAACGCUUGAAUACAUUAGCAUGCAAUAAUGAAAUAGGACGAUCGAUCCUAUUUUGUUGGUUUCUAGGAUUGACGUA
This 216-nucleotide ribosomal RNA is filed under the name Glomeromycotina sp. RNAcentral's name for it is "partial small subunit ribosomal RNA". The stretch from base 40 to 216 matches the Rfam family "Eukaryotic small subunit ribosomal RNA", at positions 686 to 864 of the family's 1831-position model. Lineage: Eukaryota; Fungi; Glomeromycota. The record is from RNAcentral.